AUUACACCAAUUCGUGUAAAAUGCGAUUUUCUUUGAUAAUUUUAAUUUCUAUGAGUUUAAUUGCCACUGUUAAUAGUUUAAAAUGUUAUCAAUGUCGUUCGGAUCAAGACAAACAUUGUGAGGAGAUUGAAGAUGCUUCGGAAAAAUAUCUAAAAAAAUGUAAAGCACCAGAAGUUGAAGAAGAUACAAAUGAAGACGUUUCGGAUGAAGAUAAAACUGAUGAUGAUGAUGUUUCUGGUUCUAAAGAUAGGCCAAAACGUCAGUCAAUUACAACAGCUCGUGAUACAGCGUUUAGAUGUAGAAAAAUCACACAAACUCUUUAUAUAACCGAUCCAUAUGAGACUAUAGUAUAUCGCGAGUGUACUUCAAUGUUCUUCGAAAACGAG
Long non-coding RNA from Dalotia coriaria, 386 nucleotides. RefSeq lists it as uncharacterized. Lineage: Eukaryota; Metazoa; Arthropoda; Insecta; Coleoptera; Staphylinidae. The record is from RefSeq and is a predicted model, not a curated record. The transcript is spliced from 3 exons.